Molecule: ribosomal RNA, 459 nt
Filed under: uncultured bacterium
Lineage: Bacteria
Description: partial 16S ribosomal RNA
Rfam family: Bacterial small subunit ribosomal RNA
Source: RNAcentral
CCUACGGGUGGCAGCAGUGAGGAAUAUUGGUCAAUGGGCGCGAGCCUGAACCAGCCAAGUAGCGUGAAGGAUGACUGCCCUACGGGUUGUAAACUUCUUUUAUAAAGGAAUAAAGUGAGGCACGUGUGCCUUUUGGUAUGUACUUUAUGAAUAAGGAUCGGGUAAUUCCGUGCCAGCAGCCGCGGUAAUACGGAGGAUGCGAGCGUUAUCCGGAUGUAUGGGGUUUAAAGGGUGCGUAGGCGGGAUGCCAAGUCAGCGGUAAAAAUGCGGUGCUCAACGCCGUCGAGCCGUUGAAACUGGGGUUCUUGAGUGGGCGAGAAGUAUGCGGAAUGCGUGGUGUAGCGGUGAAAUGCAUAGAGAUCACGCAGAACUCCGAUUGCGAAGGCAGCAUACCGGCGCCCUACUGACGCUGAGGCACGAAAGCGUGGGUAUCGAACAGGAUUAGAUACCCGAGUAGUC